CCUACGGGAGGCAGCAGUCGGGAAUCUUGCACAAUGGGCGAAAGCCUGAUGCAGCAACGCCGUGUGAGCGAUGAAGGCCCUAGGGUCGUAAAGCUCUGUUGUUGGGGACGAAGGGCGAAGGGUUAAUAGCCCUUAGCCUGACGGUACCCUUCGAGGAAGCCCCGGCUAACUACGUGCCAGCAGCCGCGGUAAUACGUAGGGGGCGAGCGUUGUCCGGAAUUAUUGGGCGUAAAGGGCGCGUAGGCGGCCUGGUAAGUCUGCUGUGAAACCUUGGGGCUCAACCCCAAGCGUGCAGUGGAUACUGUCAGGCUAGAGGAUGGUAGAGGCCAGUGGAAUUCCCGGUGUAGCGGUGAAAUGCGCAGAUAUCGGGAGGAACACCAGUAGCGAAGGCGGCUGGCUGGGCCAUUCCUGACGCUGAGGCGCGAAAGCAUGGGGAGCGAACAGGAUUAGAUACCCUGGUAGUCCAUGCCGUAAACGAUGAACACUAGGUGUGGGGGGAGUCGAAUCCCUCCGUGCCGAAGCCAACGCGUUAAGUGUUCCGCCUGGGGAGUACGGCCGCAAGGCUAAAACUCAAAAGAAUUGACGGGGGCCCGCACAAGCAGCGGAGCAUGUUCUUUAAUUCGAUGCAACGCGAAGAACCUUAC
This 644-nucleotide ribosomal RNA is filed under the name uncultured Rubrobacter sp. RNAcentral's name for it is "bacterial SSU rRNA". It matches the Rfam family "Bacterial small subunit ribosomal RNA", at positions 338 to 974 of the family's 1533-position model. The record is from RNAcentral. Lineage: Bacteria; Bacillati; Actinomycetota; Rubrobacteria; Rubrobacterales; Rubrobacteraceae.